ACAUACGCUCUUCCCUCUUUUUCCUUUUUCUUCCCUGUCCCUUAACCUUCAGAUGAAGAGAUCUGAAUAAAAAAGAAAGACAAAAAGACCCUAUUGAGCUUUACUUUACCAAGAUUUACCAAAAGAGAAUCUAUAACCAAAAAUCUUGAGAGAGUUUUGUUGGGGCGACAGAAGAAGACCUAAAUCUUCUUUAUCUCCAAAAGGUCAUCACCCUUAUAAAGAUCCGGUCUCCCGAUUAAAAGAUCUAGCUACCAUAGGGGUAACAGGCUAAUUC
This 274-nucleotide ribosomal RNA is filed under the name Scolelepis sp. GF-6542_5183. RNAcentral's name for it is "partial large subunit ribosomal RNA". Lineage: Eukaryota; Metazoa; Annelida; Polychaeta; Spionida; Spionidae. The record is from RNAcentral.